AAGAAGAGGAAGUCCGCGACUAGGAGAGCGCUCCGCCGCCCGUAUUUGUCGUUCAACCAGCCGCCGACGGCCGCGCCCAGGAUGGCUCCUGCUACGGCCAUGCUCACUAUUGCUUCCUGUUUGAUCCAACCAAAGAAAUGAGCACGGUUUUUCUAUCAACAGAGGUGAAGUCAUCUCUGAUAUAAAGAAGAGCCCCUGAUAUCACCCCUGCACAGCCAUCCCAAAAUUCAACACAAAUUUCAUAAAUGCAUGACACAACACAACACAUCUCUCUCUGUCUCUCUUCUGUCUCAGUUAAACCUGUGUCGUAGCCGAAGAGGAGGCCGCCAAUGCCGGCGGAGAAAGCGAGGCGAAGAACAAAAGGAUUCUUGGAUGCGAGCGACAAGCAGUCUCCGAAAGCCGAGGUGUCUGCUACGCCGCUGUGUAUACCUCCUUCCAUCUCUACUGAUUAUUCUACAAUUCAAGGUAUGAAUUAAACUGGUCUAAUUUCUCAUAGCAGUGCGUGUUUUUGUUUAGAGAGAUGGAAAUAGUGAGAUGAUCACUAUAAUCUGAGGAGGGAGAGUGGUAAAGAAGAAUGAGAUAACUGAGAUUGAAUUUAUAGAGAAGAGAUGAACACUACAAACAAACUGUGGAAACUGCCAGAUGACAUUUUAUUUAUCAGAUAAAUUUUUA
Long non-coding RNA from Salvia miltiorrhiza (redroot sage), 672 nucleotides. RefSeq lists it as uncharacterized. NCBI's taxonomy places the organism in Eukaryota, Viridiplantae, Streptophyta, Magnoliopsida, Lamiales, Lamiaceae. The record is from RefSeq and is a predicted model, not a curated record. The transcript is spliced from 2 exons.